This 458-nucleotide ribosomal RNA is filed under the name uncultured bacterium. RNAcentral's name for it is "partial 16S ribosomal RNA". It matches the Rfam family "Bacterial small subunit ribosomal RNA", at positions 338 to 795 of the family's 1533-position model. The record is from RNAcentral.
CCUACGGGAGGCAGCAGUGAGGAAUAUUGGUCAAUGGGCGAGAGCCUGAACCAGCCAAGUCGCGUGAGGGAGUACUGCCCUAUGGGUUGUAAACCUCUUUUGUCGGGGAGCAAAAGCCGGACGUGUCCGGCUGUGAGAGUACCCGAAGAAAAAGCAUCGGCUAACUCCGUGCCAGCAGCCGCGGUAAUACGGAGGAUGCGAGCGUUAUCCGGAUUUAUUGGGGUAAAAGGGUGCGCAGGCGGAUUUUUAAGUCAGCGGUCAAAUCGUGGGGCUCAACCCCAUCCAGCCGUUGAAACUGGGGAUCUAGAGUGUGCGAGAGGUAUGCGGAAUGCGUGGUGUAGCGGUGAAAUGCAUAGAUAUCACGCAGAACCCCGAUUGCGAAGGCAGCAUACCGGUGCACAACUGACGCUCAGGCACGAAAGCGUGGGUAUCGAACAGGAUUAGAUACCCUAGUAGUC